UCUUUCAUGAGAGUUUGAUCCUGGCUCAGGACGAACGCUGGCGGCGUGCCUAAUACAUGCAAGUCGAACGCACAACGAAGGAGCUUGCUUCUUCCGCGUGAGUGGCGAACGGGUGAGUAACACGUGGGAAACCUGCCCUUUAGCGGGGGAUAACAUUCGGAAA
RNAcentral lists this ribosomal RNA (163 nucleotides) under Ignavigranum ruoffiae. RNAcentral describes it as "16S rRNA. Bacterial SSU". It matches the Rfam family "Bacterial small subunit ribosomal RNA", at positions 1 to 156 of the family's 1533-position model. Lineage: Bacteria; Bacillati; Bacillota; Bacilli; Lactobacillales; Aerococcaceae. The record is from RNAcentral.